GAUGAACGCUGGCGGCGUGCCUAAUACAUGCAAGUCGACCGAACAGACGAGGAGCUUGCUCCUCUGACGUUAGCGGCGGACGGGUGAGUAACACGUGGAUAACCUACCUAUAAGACUGGGAUAACUUCGGGAAACCGGAGCUAAUACCGGAUAACAUGUUGAACCGCAUGGUUCAACAGUGAAAAACGGUCUUGCUGUCACUUAUAGAUGGAUCCGCGCCGCAUUAGCUAGUUGGUAAGGUAACGGCUUACCAAGGCAACGAUGCGUAGCCGACCUGAGAGGGUGAUCGGCCACACUGGAACUGAGACACGGUCCAGACUCCUACGGGAGGCAGCAGUAGGGAAUCUUCCGCAAUGGGCGAAAGCCUGACGGAGCAACGCCGCGUGAGUGAAGAAGGUCUUCGGAUCGUAAAACUCUGUUAUUAGGGAAGAACAAAUGUGUAAGUAACUAUGCACGUCUUGACGGUACCUAAUCAGAAAGCCACGGCUAACUACGUG
RNAcentral lists this ribosomal RNA (497 nucleotides) under uncultured bacterium. RNAcentral's name for it is "partial 16S ribosomal RNA". It matches the Rfam family "Bacterial small subunit ribosomal RNA", at positions 28 to 507 of the family's 1533-position model. The record is from RNAcentral.